Pyrenophora tritici-repentis Pt-1C-BFP is the source of this 182-nucleotide small nucleolar RNA. The record is from Rfam. Lineage: Eukaryota; Fungi; Ascomycota; Dothideomycetes; Pleosporales; Pleosporaceae.
UGGUCUCUUGCCUCGCUCAAUCCGCUGUUCCAUCAGCGGAUUUCGAGCUGGAUGCGCAAACAUUCCUUUUGGGGAAGUUUAGCGUACGAGACAAGAGUAAAAAACUGCGACGAUCUUUGAGUACGGAACCGGCUGAUAUCUAUCAUGUGUCGGACCUUCGUAAUUUAUCAGUCGAGACAUGC